Molecule: long non-coding RNA, 3075 nt
Organism: Monomorium pharaonis (pharaoh ant)
Lineage: Eukaryota; Metazoa; Arthropoda; Insecta; Hymenoptera; Formicidae
Exons: 2
Source: RefSeq, a predicted model, not a curated record
GGUGCACUUUGCCGCGCCGCCGAUGGCUGGUGCUGCUAUCGCAGUGGCGCGACGCGCAGCGGUGAAAAAUUACAAAAAGUUGGCCAAAAGUCAUAUUUUCGACUUUUUAGUAGAUUAAUUGUUUAAAUCAUAUAGAAUAUUAUGUAAAAUAUUCUACAAAUCAACAAUCUGUAAUUGCUAUUUUAUAAAAAUGCAUUGGUAAUGUAGAAAUAUUCCUUUAAAGUCAGAUAAUUAUAUACUCAUGUUCUACAUUAUUUUACAACUAACACGCACAUUUUAUCUUCUAUAGAAUCUAUAGCAAUAUUUUAUUUCAUAAACUUUAUUCCUUUGAAUAACAAAAGAUCACAAUGAUUGAAUGACAAAAGUUGACACUGUGCAUGAUAUUAUUCAUGUCAAUUUUCUUUUACGUGGCUGAAUAAUUACUACAGACAUUUAUUGUGAGGAAAUCAAUAAAGUUUUUAUCAUUCCAAACUGAUAAAGAUUUAUUUGGCACUUGUGAACAGGAAGGAUAUACAUGUUUACGUUUACAAUAAAGAAAUAAACUUGUAGAACAAUUUUAAAAAAAGUAUAACCAAAUGGCAAUUGAUUCCUCAAAUAAAAUUACUUUUCAAAAAGAGUUAGUAUUAAAUUUUUAUCUAAAAAUCCACACAAACUUUCUCUGGUGCCCAAUAUGUUUAUUGCACAAUCCAUAUGAAUACAAUUAAAUAUAAUAAUAAGAGCUGUUUGUUAUUCAAUAUUUAUUAAGAUUUUGAAUCUCUUCUUUUUAUAGAAACAAUAUCUAAAAGAAUAUAUAGUGAAUAGCCUGUUGAUAGAAAAAAUUUAAACACUAUCAACAUAGCUGAUCAAGUUUCAGUUCAACAAUUAAUUCAAGUGACAUCAUAAUUGUGGCAUUACACUUACUAGCUUUCCAGAAUCCCCUGCUAACACAGAAAUCAACAUGCAAUUAUUAUCUCAAAUAUCCGCUUUUUUAUCUCAGACAAAGACAUUCACAGUAUCGACGAUCAAUUUUAAUACUUUGGAUACAAAUAGAUCAAUUGUACAAGCAACUAUUCAGAAGCACUCGAAAAAAAUUUUCAAACGACAUGGAGAAGAAUGCUAAAUUAUUCGUCAUUGGCCCUCUUUCCCGUGAAAUGGAAGUGUCUGAAUUAGGUGCAGCUAUUAUGUUUACUCAGCAACUAUGGAAAACAAACAAAGAAGUGCACGACAUAUUGAUCUAUUAAAAUAUUGCAUCGAAGAAAAAUUCUAUACAUCCUACUUAUAAAAUGGACUUGAAUAUAAGAAGUUUACUAUACAGGCUAUGAGAAAUAUGAAAGACGAUGUUAAAAAUUCUUCUAAGAGAAGUUCCCAUUAAAUUGGAAAAAAUGUCUUUCUGCUGAUGUUCUAUAUUUCACAUUUACCAUUUUUCUUUUCUGUAAAACCGUAUGUCACAAAACUAUUGCAAUUGUUUGACGAGAGGAUUAGGUUUAGUACAUGGCUUCACGAAGCCUGUACAGACAUCUAGAACACAAUCUGAAUUUUGAAUACAGUUUAAAAAAUAUAUAUUUAGGAAUAUUGCGGUUGCGAUUAUUUAUCAAUUAAGUUUAAAAAAAAAUUGUCUUUAUUGUAAAAGUGACUUUUCCUAAAUGUAUAAUAUAAAUUUUGUAAAAGUGAAGAAAUUUAUGGUAAUUGAUAAUAUAAUAUGAUAGUUUUAUUAUCUUUUUGAUACCGAAAUAAAUGUUUCAAAAAUUAAAAGAUACAAAUUAGAGAGAAAUGAUAGGUUACGCACCCAUUAUAAUGAAUCUUUAUUUCCAUUUUAGACAAUUUUGUAAUUUAUUUUUUCCUUAUUUAUCUACUUUUGUUUUUGUUGUGUUCUUUGUUAGUAUAUAAAAUAUUAAAUAGCAUACAUGGAUCAUUCACGACAUAUAUAUCGCACGUCAAAUCUUAAGUUCUAAAAAUUUUUUUAAUGAGUUUUUUUAAGUGUGUAAGUGUACAGCAAAAUAUAGUUACUUUUUAAGCGUUGAAAAGAAAAAUUACAAACGAACAUGAUGUGUGAUCCAUAUAUGCUAUUGGAAACUCUUUUCACUAAAUUCUUAUUAUGCAUAUUCAUAAGUAAUAUUUAUCAAUUUGAAUGUAAAAAAAUUGUUUUUGUGCCUAUGACGAUAGAUAACAAGAUUAAUGUCUAUGACAAAAAAUUUACUACAUAUUUUCAUUACUUUAUUUUCAUUCUUUUUAUGUAGUUUUAUAUUCUGAUAAUAAACUUUUUUUUUUGAGUUUUUAAACAUUUUAAUUAACAAAAUCAAUCCAGAUGUGAAGUAUUUAUCAUAUAUCUCUUUAAAGUUUUUCCUUAGAGACACUUCCACAAAAUAGAAAGAAAAUCGUUUUCACACAUUAAAUACACAAAAAUGACAAGUUGUUUUAUUGCCCGUUCUAAUAUAUUCGCACAUCUAAGCAGUUAUGACGUUUGCUUGAAAUGGUAAUAUUAGUAAUAUAUCGAUUUUAUAUAUAUACAAAUACACACACACACACACACACACAUGUGUGUGUGUGUGUGUGUUAAUUUUGUUUAGACGAGAGUGUCUUUGUUAAAAUUUGGUCACUAUUUCAGAAUUUUUAAAAUGUAUGAUAGAAAAUCGACAAUAUUUUUCCUUUAUUCCUGUUUCUUGAUUUUCGUAUAAUUUUUUAUGUUUAUAAUAUAUACAUUCUUUAGAUAUAUAUUAAAUAGCAUUUUUGUCAUAAAAAAUAUUUAGUGUAUAAUUAGUAAAAACAUUUUUUAAUCAUAUCCGUUUUUAGUAUUUAAAUGCAUUAUCUUCUCUACUUGAUGAAUAUUUCGAUACAAUUAUAUAGUUAUUAUUACAUAUGUAAUGUAAAUUGCAAACUUGAAAGGAUUAAUUAAAUCUAUUCAAGAUUGUUUUUAAAUACAAAUUUAUAUAGAUUUGCUUUCUCUUUCUUUUUUCUGUUUAAUGUUACAGUAUUUUCCAAGAAGAAAUUUUAAGAAAGUAAGAACUUAUUAACAACUAUUGUUAAGUUAAUCGAUUUAAUCAAUUAUGUAACAAUAAAUGAAUCCUCGAAAUAAGUGGAUCUUUCUAAAAAAAAAAA